This 222-nucleotide small nuclear RNA is filed under the name Mus pahari (shrew mouse). RNAcentral describes it as "sRNA (MGP_PahariEiJ_G0008127.1)". The stretch from base 3 to 181 matches the Rfam family "7SK RNA". Rfam says of the family: 7SK was discovered as an abundant small nuclear RNA in the mid-70s but a possible function has only recently been suggested. Two independent studies have found that 7SK RNA binds the CDK9/cyclin T complex (known as elongation factor P-TEFb). Lineage: Eukaryota; Metazoa; Chordata; Mammalia; Rodentia; Muridae. The record is from RNAcentral.
GCAUGCGAGGGCAAUGUGCCUGUGACAUCUGUCACCCCUUUGUUCUCUAGGGUUGACUCUGCUUAUCUGGCUAAGCAGGUAUCACCUUCCUCCCUCAUGUCCUAUGUGCAUCCCUCCUGAAUCUGUGCACUCAAUCAAGAGGUUGGCCUUCACCAAUAGGGAAGAGCCAAUCUUCUUGCUCCUUAGCCAGAGUCUCCAAACUCUCAUGAGGAGCCACAACAA